Etheostoma spectabile (orangethroat darter) is the source of this 174-nucleotide long non-coding RNA. RefSeq lists it as uncharacterized. The transcript is spliced from 3 exons. The record is from RefSeq and is a predicted model, not a curated record. NCBI's taxonomy places the organism in Eukaryota, Metazoa, Chordata, Actinopteri, Perciformes, Percidae.
GCCCAAGGGCAUGCUGGUCUUACAGGGAGAUGUGUUCAAGUGCAUUGUGGGCGUGCUGGUCUUACAGGGAGGUGUGUUCAGGUGCAUUGUGGGCAUGCUGGUCGUACAGGGAGGUGUGUUCAGGUGCAUUGUGGGUAUGCUGAUCCUACAGGGAGGUGUAUUCAGGUGCAUUCU